GGGUGAUGCAGAGCCAUUGAAAUAUUAUUUAACUCCUGCACUUAAUGGUUCUGGUUUGGGUUCGGCUGUGAGCCAAGCUGGGUUUGCUCUUACGGGGAAAACCCCAGGGGUUCAGUCUGCAUUUGCUUUGACUUGUCACCUUGAUUUUUGUUCCUGUGUAGGCAGGAAAUCCCGUCGAGGCAGCUUUGUUGCAGGUUCAUGCACACAAUUGGGGAUUCCCCAACACGACCGCGCUGGCUGCUUGUGCCGACAACACCCGUCGCCCUCCCAUUGCAGGUGGUUUUCCAGGAAACAGCCCUAAUCCUCUCUGCAUUGGUUUGACACCAUGGCUUACAUCUCACUGAAGAUUCACUGUCAGGUUUAAGCAUGUCCUUAAGCACUGCAGUGUGCUUAAAUAUUUUUUUAAAGAAAGACAUGGGUGAGGAGAAAGCAUUACUCGCGGCGGGUAACUUUACACAGGAGGGAUGCACUGGAAAGGGGAGAAGAGCACAUCUGGCAGGGGGAACCACGAAACACCCUCCCCUUCCCCCUGGCUGCCUUCACGGCAAGGCACACCUCAGUCUCUUCUUCAGAAAACCCUGUUUACAAACUUGGCUUGGGAUGUCACAGGUAAUUUAGUAUGUUUACACAGAGGUAAGAGAGGAAGGGGGUGGAAAGGGCACAUUGUCAUGGUGUUGGUUACCUCUUGAUCCCCAUGGCACAGCUGCCCAUGGGAACAGGGAUGGGGACAGGGACAGGGUCCUCCUGUGGCUGUGAUGUGCUUUAAAUGUGACACAUGGCACCAGGUAUGGGGCAAGAAAUAUGAUCCAAAGUGACCUCACGCUCCUGCCGCAUUCUCUUUUUUCCCCAUUAAAUAGGAUUUUGACAUUAUUAUAGUUUUCCUACUAGAAUGAGAGUCUUUGGCAGAGAAAACAGAUGUGCUUAGAGUUCAAAAACAUGAGCUGCGAGCCUGAACUUUUAAUUUAUGGACGGGGUUUUACCAAUUACCUUAGUCUGUAUUUUCCUACUGUCCCCUCCAGGCUGAGGACCCCCGGUGUCAAGCUCUGUGUAAGCUGGGGCUGAACAGCUGUGAGCUCCUCAGAGGUGAGACGAGGGAGAGGCAGCCAUCCUAAUAGCACAGGGAAACCAAGGGGGAGAGAAGGGAAACGUUAUCCCAGGCAGGAGCUGGGGAGAUCAGCAGCUGGGUGCAAUUCAAGAGCAAGCAUUGUUGCAUGAGCAGCUAUCUGUAAAAUAAGUAAGUGCAAC
This 1245-nucleotide long non-coding RNA is filed under the name Anser brachyrhynchus (Pink-footed goose). RNAcentral's name for it is "lncRNA (ENSABRG00000022249.1)". Lineage: Eukaryota; Metazoa; Chordata; Aves; Anseriformes; Anatidae. The record is from RNAcentral.